This 245-nucleotide ribosomal RNA is filed under the name uncultured bacterium. RNAcentral's name for it is "partial small subunit ribosomal RNA". It matches the Rfam family "Bacterial small subunit ribosomal RNA", at positions 26 to 285 of the family's 1533-position model. The record is from RNAcentral.
AGAAUCAACGCUGGCGGCGUGCCUAACACAUGCAAGUCGAACGAGAAAGGGUAGCAAUACCUGAGUAAAGUGGCGCACGGGUGAGUAACACGUGAAUGAUCUACCUCCGAGUGGGGAAUAACUGAGAGAAAUCUUAGCUAAUACCGCAUAACACUUACGAGUCAAAGCAGCAAUGCGCUUGGAGAGGAGUUCGCGGCCGAUUAGUUAGUUGGCGGGGUAAUGGCCCACCAAGACGAUGAUCGGUA